This 455-nucleotide ribosomal RNA is filed under the name uncultured fungus. Its description in RNAcentral is "SSU rRNA". It matches the Rfam family "Eukaryotic small subunit ribosomal RNA", at positions 290 to 758 of the family's 1831-position model. The record is from RNAcentral. Lineage: Eukaryota; Fungi.
AUGGUUCAUUCAAAUUUCUGCCCUAUCAAGUUUCGAUGGUAGGAUAGAGGCUACCAUGCUUUUGUACGGGUAACGGCGAAUUAGGGUUCGAUUCCGGAGAGGGAGCCUGAGAAACGGCUACCACAUCUAAGGAAGGCAGCAGGCGCGCAAAUUACCCAAUCCUGAUUCAGGGAGGUAGUGACAAUAAAUAACAAUCCAGGACUUCGGUCUUGGAAUUGGAAUGAGAACAAUUUAAAUCUCUUAUCGAGGAACAAUUGGAGGGCAAGUCUGGUGCCAGCAGACGGGUAAUUCCAGCUCCAAAUAGCGUAUAUUAAAGUUGUUGCAGUUAAAUAGCUCGUAGUCGAAUCUUGGGGCUAGGUUUGAGCGGUCGAGUCUUUAGAGGUGUACUGUCGGACAGUUCUUUUACUUGUGGGGAACGGUAUGUGCCCUUUGCAGGGGAUGUGUACGGGAACCAU